RNAcentral lists this ribosomal RNA (454 nucleotides) under uncultured Parabacteroides sp. RNAcentral describes it as "partial 16S ribosomal RNA". It matches the Rfam family "Bacterial small subunit ribosomal RNA", at positions 341 to 792 of the family's 1533-position model. Lineage: Bacteria; Pseudomonadati; Bacteroidota; Bacteroidia; Bacteroidales; Tannerellaceae. The record is from RNAcentral.
ACGGGAGGCAGCAGUGAGGAAUAUUGGUCAAUGGAGGCAACUCUGAACCAGCCAUCUCGCGUGAAGGAAUACGGCCCUAUGGGUCUUAAACUUCUUUUAUAGGGGGAUAAAGUGAGGCAUGUAUGCCUUUUUGUAGGUACCCUAUGAAUAAGCAUCGGCUAACUCCGUGCCAGCAGCCGCGGUAAUACGGAGGAUGCGAGCGUUAUCCGGAUUUAUUGGGUUUAAAGGGUGCGCAGGCGGCACGUUAAGUCAGCGGUGAAAUGCAGGGGCUCAACCCCGGCACUGCCGUUGAAACUGGCGAGCUCGAGUACGGAUGAAGUCGGCGGAAUGUGAUGUGUAGCGGUGAAAUGCUUAGAUAUGACGAAGAACUCCGAUUGCGAAGGCAGCCUUCUGGGGCAUGAUUGACGCUGAGGCUCGAAAGUGCGGGAAUCAAACAGGAUUAGAUACCCUGGUA